RNAcentral lists this long non-coding RNA (816 nucleotides) under Homo sapiens (human). RNAcentral describes it as "non-protein coding lnc-SUPT6H-5:3". Lineage: Eukaryota; Metazoa; Chordata; Mammalia; Primates; Hominidae. The record is from RNAcentral.
GAAACACGCCCCGGGCGCACACCACGGUGCCCGGAACCGCGGGGCUCGGGGACCCGCGGGGGUCGGAGUCCGGGCCCACUACCUGGGCUGGCGGUGGACCUGGCUGACUCAUUUCGGUCCGGGGAGCUCACUUUGAGGGGAGUUGGAGUCCGCCUAGCCACUUAGGCCUGGACUCAGGGUUCUGCGGAAGUUACACCCCUGGUCAGACGUGGUAGCACUCCCAUCUUAUUCAAGAUCCUGUUUGAAAAUUACUGAGGCAGAAACUAGGAGUGAUUUCACAUCUCCCCAAGAGCUCCAGCGCUGCUGUUUCAAGGUCAUACUUACCUCUCAAGCACUGUAUUUGCGUCAUCUUCCUCGUCAUCUGCAGCCUUCCCCCAGGGUAUGUCCUCCGAAUGCUCUGGGAAGGCCCAAUUCACUGAAAACCUCUGUCCAAGUCAAGGAGGGGUGCCGUGCAACACGUAUCCCUACUCUGGUUCAUCUUAUCCAAUCUGUUUAUUGAACCAAGAUUCCUGUCACUUCCUUCCUUCUCCCUUGACUAUUACCGGCCCUACUCCCAGCCAUCUCAUAGCCUAAAAUGUUGAUUUUAUGAUUUGUCUAUUUCUUUCUGGAGAGAUCUUAAGGGAUCAACACAAGUGAAGUGGAAUAAAGGCAGGGAGUCGGGGGUGGGGGGUGGUUGAGGCAACAGUGGGGCUCAACUAAUUCAUGGCCUCCAUUUAUUGAGACCACAAGCCCUUGUAAAAGAGACCAAGUCUUUUAACGUCACGGGCCAUGUUUGGCACAGAAAUGGUGUCUCUAAAUGUUCAACAUUAACAAAAC